This 243-nucleotide ribosomal RNA is filed under the name uncultured Rhizophagus. RNAcentral's name for it is "partial small subunit ribosomal RNA". It matches the Rfam family "Eukaryotic small subunit ribosomal RNA", at positions 630 to 864 of the family's 1831-position model. Lineage: Eukaryota; Fungi; Glomeromycota; Glomeromycetes; Glomerales; Glomeraceae. The record is from RNAcentral.
AUGUCACCAAGCUGUAGUUGAAUCUCGGGGCCAGUAGGUUGGUCGUGCCACUGGUAUGCACUGGCCUCACUGGUCCCUCCUUCUUGUAGAACCGUGAUGGCAUUAAUUUGUUGUUGCGGGGAAACAGGACUGUUACUUUGAAAAAAUUAGAGUGCUUAAAGCAGGCUCGCGCUUGAAUACAUUAGCAUGGAAUAACGAAAUAGGACGAUCGAACCUAUUUUGUUGGUUUCUAGGAUCGACGUA